GAUGAACGCUGGCGGCGUGCCUAAUACAUGCAAGUCGAGCGAACAGACGAGGAGCUUGCUCCUCUGACGUUAGCGGCGGACGGGUGAGUAACACGUGGAUAACCUACCUAUAAGACUGGGAUAACUUCGGGAAACCGGAGCUAAUACCGGAUAAUAUAUUGAACCGCAUGGUUCAAUAGUGAAAGACGGUUUUGCUGUCACUUAUAGAUGGAUCCGCGCCGCAUUAGCUAGUUGGUAAGGUAACGGCUUACCAAGGCAACGAUGCGUAGCCGACCAGAGAGGGUGAUCGGCCACACGGGAACUGAGACACGGUCCAGACUCCUACGGGAGGCAGCAGAAGGGAAUCUUCCGCAAUGGUCGAAAGCUUGACGGAACAACGCCGGGUGAGUGAUGAAGGUCUUCGGAUCGUAAAACUCUGUUAUUAGGGAAGAACAAAUGUGUAAGUAACUAUGCACGUCUUGACGGUACCUAAUCAGAAAGCCACGGCUAACUACGUG
RNAcentral lists this ribosomal RNA (497 nucleotides) under uncultured bacterium. Its description in RNAcentral is "partial 16S ribosomal RNA". It matches the Rfam family "Bacterial small subunit ribosomal RNA", at positions 28 to 507 of the family's 1533-position model. The record is from RNAcentral.